This 483-nucleotide ribosomal RNA is filed under the name uncultured bacterium. Its description in RNAcentral is "bacterial SSU rRNA". It matches the Rfam family "Bacterial small subunit ribosomal RNA", at positions 28 to 526 of the family's 1533-position model. The record is from RNAcentral.
GACGAACGCUGGCGGCACGCUUAACACAUGCAAGUCGAACGAGAACCUCGGAGCUUGCUCCGGGGGGAAAGUGGCGAACGGGUGAGUAACACGUGAGGAACCUGCCCCGAAGACCGGGAUAACACCGGGAAACCGGUGCUAAUACCGGACGUCCUCACUGGAUCGCAUGGUCCGGUGAGGAAAUGGAUUCCGCUUCGGGAUGGCCUCGCGGCCUAUCAGCUUGUUGGUGGGGUAACGGCCUACCAAGGCUUCGACGGGUAGCUGGUCUGAGAGGAUGUCCAGCCACACUGGGACUGAGACACGGCCCAGACUCCUACGGGAGGCAGCAGUGGGGAAUCUUGCGCAAUGGGCGAAAGCCUGACGCAGCGAUGCCGCGUGCGGGAUGAAGGCCUUCGGGUUGUAAACCGCUUUCAGCAGGGACGAAAUUGACGGUACCUGCAGAAGAAGCCCCGGCCAACUACGUGCCAGCCGCCGCGGUAAUAC